GAGUUUGAUCGUGGCUCAGGAUGAACGCUAGCGGCAGGCUUAAUACAUGCAAGUCGAGGGGUAGUGGUAGCAAUACCACGAGACCGGCAAACGGGUGCGGAACACGUACACAACCUACCUUGAGAUGGGGGAUAGCCCAGAGAAAUUUGGAUUAAUACCCCAUGUGAUCUUGAUCCGGCAUCGGAUUAAGAUGAAAGAUUUAUUGUCUUGAGAUGGGUGUGCGUAUGAUUAGGUGGUUGGUUGAGGUAACGGCUCACCAAGCCUUCGAUCAUUAACUGGUGUGAG
RNAcentral lists this ribosomal RNA (285 nucleotides) under uncultured Sphingobacterium sp. RNAcentral's name for it is "partial 16S ribosomal RNA". It matches the Rfam family "Bacterial small subunit ribosomal RNA", at positions 9 to 296 of the family's 1533-position model. The record is from RNAcentral. Lineage: Bacteria; Pseudomonadati; Bacteroidota; Sphingobacteriia; Sphingobacteriales; Sphingobacteriaceae.